UGUACUAUAGUUAGUUAACUAUGUAUCAUAUUAAUUUAACUGUGUGCAGUAUUCAUUUAACUGUGUACAGUAUUUAUUUAGCUGUAUAUCAUAUUAAUUUAACUAUAUAUCAUGUUUAGUUAACUGUAUACUAUGUUAAUUUAACUGUACACAUUAUUUAUUUAACUCUGUACAGUAUUCAUUUAAUUAUGUACCAUAUUCAUUUAACUAUAUAUCAUAUUUAGUUAACUGUGUAUCUAUUAAUUUAACUGUGUACCAUAGUUAGUUAACUG
RNAcentral lists this long non-coding RNA (272 nucleotides) under Elaeis guineensis (African oil palm). RNAcentral describes it as "long non-coding RNA (EGUI_LNC015630)". Lineage: Eukaryota; Viridiplantae; Streptophyta; Magnoliopsida; Arecales; Arecaceae. The record is from RNAcentral.